AGACGAGAAGCAGCUAUCAACUCCUGAGACAUGUUAAUCUUCCCACUAAGUCCGAUACGGUGGUUAACAACGGGCCCGCUGGAGACUGGCACCAACACAGUCUUAAAACGAGAAGCAGCUAUCAACUCCUGAGACAUGUUAAUCUUCCCACUAAGUCCGAUACGGUGGUUAACAACGGGCCCGCUGGAGACUGGCACCAACACAGUCUUAAGACGAGAAGCAGCUAUCAACUCCUGAGACAUGUUAAUCUUCCCACUAAGUCCGAUACGGUGGUUAACAACGGGCCCGCUGGAGACCGGCACCAACACAGUCUUAAGACGAGAAGCAGCUAUCAACUCCUGAGACAUGUUAAUCUUCCCACUAAGUCCAAUACGGUGGUUAACAACGGGCCCGCUGGAGACUGACACCAAUACAGCCUUAAG
Procambarus clarkii (red swamp crayfish) is the source of this 422-nucleotide non-coding RNA. NCBI's taxonomy places the organism in Eukaryota, Metazoa, Arthropoda, Malacostraca, Decapoda, Cambaridae. The record is from RefSeq and is a predicted model, not a curated record.